Molecule: long non-coding RNA, 216 nt
Organism: Erigeron canadensis
Lineage: Eukaryota; Viridiplantae; Streptophyta; Magnoliopsida; Asterales; Asteraceae
Exons: 2
Source: RefSeq, a predicted model, not a curated record
CCAUCUUCUGAUGAUGAUUAUCAUACCAACCAAGGCUUGACAAUUGAUCAAGGAAUCGCUUGUGUUCUAAUGCUGGUGGCUUUGGUGCUUACGUACCUCAUUCACUAAAAGUCUCAAUUAAUCAAUGUCGUCAGCACCAAUCGAUCAUCCUUUCUUCCUUAUUAAAGGUCGAGUUGAAAAGAACCCCGAGCAAAAAAGAUGUUUAUAGGCUAGUUA